AUAUACGGGAGCAAGUGUUGGGCUUCACGUUGUGAAAUGCGGUGGUGGGUUAGUGAUGGUAAAUACGGUAGCACUUCCUUUCUGGGAACGUUCUUCCCGCGCUGCUCGCCAUAUGAGUUAUAUACGGUAACCGGGCGUGCGCUCAAUGGGCGUAGAUACGGUGCGGGGUGCCUCCUCAGCGCGGCUGGGUGGCGGCGUCCCAGCCCGGUCUCCUCGGCCCUGGCUGGAAAUAAAGGCCGAUCGUCUGCGGGGCUGUUUUACCUCGCUCUCUGCAGGCACCUGUGAAGUACAGCACAACCCACACGUAAUGGAGCACAGCACUGCAGGAGAGGCACGUGAGCAGCAGUGCAAAUCGCUGACAGAUGAAAGGGAGGCAGCACAAGAGGAGUGAGUAUGCGGAGCUGCAAGGACAGCCCUUGCUUGACUCAAAAACAGCUGCACAAGACUUCAGCCAUGCAGCACUUGUCCGCAGUUGAGUUCCUGGACUGCCUCACUGCAUGGCCACAGAGUUGUUCCAAAGUAACACUGGGAAUGGUGUACUAGCAGAAAAAAACAGAAGUGGAGAUUCCCAGUGCCUAUUCAGUGCCCUCAGACACAGCCUGUGUCUGAGGCUUGUUCUAUCCAGUUUCAACCCCAUCACUUACUGUCAUCUUUUUGUGGGCCACGUCACUGCUCCUGGCGUAACCACAUUGCAGUAUCCAGCCAUAUGGGCCCGUAACAUGCCUCAUCUGGAAAGCUUGAGGUUCAUGUGAAGGUAACUCACAAAGAUCAGGUGUUUUUAAGCUGCUUUUUCCACCAUCCUCACAAAGGCCCAAGUGGAACCACCUGCUGGAACUCGCCAAGACCUGAGUGAUCUCCUUUUGCUGACAGGUUCUGAAAAAGUAGACAAGGGGUCAGAUCAUUGUAAGUGUCUAUUGAUAUUUCCUUUCUGCAUUUUGCUUUCUCACUGGUAAGUAGGCUAAGCAGGUUAUGUUAUCAUAAAGAAAGCUUCCUUUUAUUCUAAUUUGCCCUGAAUUGAGGUCCUAGCUCUGUCCCCUAAUUCUAAGAAAGAAGCUAGAGGAGAAACUGAGUUUAUAAGAAAUAAUUUAAACUCACAAGAUACAAAGCAGAGAGUAAACACUGUGAAAGAUAAAAAAUGAGAACUUGUUGAGAUCUGAAGAGAAACCAGUUCAGCUUCCUCAUUUAUUCUACAGCUCUCUUGGAAUGUGGUCUUUACACAACACGCCGCUUGGUUACCUGAACUGGGUUACCAGCAGAAGGGGUAUGUCAACGGCCAAUUGCCUAAUGGUAUUGCAGAGUAAAAUGGUUAAAUUAUCAGCGAUCAUCUUCCAUGUCGUGCUCUGAGUGCAGUUUUAAUCAUCCCUUAGUGUUAGGCAGUAAAUGCAUUUGGCUUGGAAAAGGAGGAGCAAAUCAGCAGCACUGGCACAUAGUUUUGAAAACCAGACCAACAAAGUAUAAAAUUAACACUUGCUUCAGUGUUAGGAAGGAUUUGCAUGUCUUCUCAUUAAUUACCUAAAUAACAGAAUGACCUUAAGCAAAGGAGAAAUUGUAAAGACGGAACUUUUCAGAAAUGCUGAGUAUCUGACUUCUGACCUCAGCUUCUCUGAAAUUCAGGCUCAGAAUGUCUCAAUGUAGCACUGUGUCAUAUGACACUGUGUUCCUAGGGUUUCAUGUUCCAGGAACACAUUUCUCUCUUACCUACAAAACUUGGUAAACAAUGUCAUGUCACAAAGGGGGAACACAGUUCUGGUCUGAUGGCAGAAGCAGCCUGUUUUCUGUGUCACGAGGCCUUACACACCAUGCUAUGAGUGGCUGGGGCACUAGUUUACUCACCCUUGCAACUCCCACGAAAUCAUCAGCUUGAAGUUCUGCUGCUUCUAGUGUUGCUUCCAAAUCCACUCUCAUGACCAGCGUACCCACAAAUGGUAGCAGAUUGGAUGAUGAAAGCCAUUCACUGCUCAUGCUCUGAGAGACAGUUGUUUUCAUUGCAGAGACAUUAACCUGGACGUCCAAGCGUGGGAUAAGAAGGGAAGAAUAUGUAGUUCAUCACAGAGUCAUACGAACGCAGAGGCUCUUUCUCCUGCUCACCACAGGUCAUUUCUCACAGCAUUGAUGCACAACAUACAGAGUGAUCAAAAGUGGCUGAAAGUAGAGGCAGUGCCCCUGGGCAGGAGAGAAAGUGGGUGAUCUCAGAGUCUGUCAGAAAGUACCUGCUGUGCGGAAAUGCUGCAGGAGAACGGUAUGGUCAGGUAGCUGAAGGUUUAUUUCUGCAGUUUUUCCCAACUUGAACUUGAUACCUGAAUGAAGAUUUUCAAAAUUAAAUGUACCUUAUUUUUCAGAAUUAGUAAUUUUCAGAUUUAAAUAGCCUGACCAGUAAUUAUUUACAGUUGUCAAUGAACCGCUGGCUGGUAGCUGGCAGGCAGGCAAAAGAGUGCAGGUUGGUUGAUCCUUUGCUUUAUUUCCAGGUGUUGCUCAAGGGUCUCUGAAGAUCUAAAGAGAAAGGUCAGAGUUUCUACUUUGAUUGAAAAUUUCUUCUAUCUUACAGGAGGAAGAGAGGAAAAAUUGGGGAUCUUUGGAGCUGGAGACCAGACAGACAAAGAUUUGGAAAAAAAGGACAUAGUGGUUAGGCACGUGAUUUGGGAAGAAAAUGUGGAACAACAGUUCUGAUGGGGAAAGGAAGAUGGAGAAGUGUGUUCAAGUAAUAUGGGAGAGUAAAACAAAUUGUAGAAGAAAGAAGGAUAAGAGAAAAAGGAAAACUAGGAAAACCUGGUAUUACUUUAAAGGCAAAACUUUAGAACUCCUAAAUAUUUCCCAUGUUGUAAGGAGUCCCUGCAACCUUCAGAUAAAUUGCAUGAAUUGCAUUUGAGAUUAGGAGGGGAAAAGUUCAUAGGAUGAUUUUUUUUUUCCUGUUAUGAUGUGUUUCACAAUUCACAAUUUAAGAACACAUGGUCUAAUCAGAAUAUUUGCAAAUGUCAUGCCGUAUUUUCUUCUGGUUUGCUUUUUUGGUGAGAUACAAAAUGUCUGCAGUGAGAGUGCCCAGUAUUUCUCCUGAUCUGGCCUCUAAGGUCUAAGUUCUUCCAGAAACCAGCUAUUCAUAGUGAGUGGGCCAAUAACCGAUGCACAAGGAACAAACUUUUCACCCUCACUAUAUGCAACCACACAUAUAGUUACUUUUUAAGAAAUAUAUUCAGGGCAUCAUUAAACCAGUAUUCUGCAAUGGAAAAUAAUUAAAAUUCAGAGCAACAUCAAAAGGGUCAGAAUAUGUUUAAUUGAAACAUUUUAGAAAAGCUGCCAACAUUCUGAGAAAUGAAUUGUUGUACAUGUAUUCCUAUGGGAAAUUAUUAAAUUAAUUGAAAAAGCUAUAAUAUGACUGAUAGCACUUACUAUCGUAAUAAAUGAGCAUCACAGAGUCAGUGUUAAUCAGGAUUAGAGAUUGAAUGGAGACAGUCUGAUAGGUGUAGACUGUUUUCACCUAAGGCAGUUCUGUGAAAGAAACCUUUUCAUUUCACUCUUGAACAUUAUGUACCCAGUGCUAGACCAGUUUCCUGUCAAAUCGCUUGGCCAAAUGCAGAAAUCCAGAUCUACAAAUAUCUGUGAUAAGGAAAUUCGCACACCUUUUCUACUGCACACAAAUACUAGUUCCCUUUUGCCUGUGGACAGACUACAGGAUCAGCUUUUUGGCCCGCGUCCCACAACAAAAUAGGCUAAAGCCAAUGAUGGCAGAAAAGUGUCAGAUGCUUGUGUAAGACAUUAUUAAUUAAUAUGAUGUAAUAAUUUCUGAAUAAGUAAGGCUAGUACAGAGAAAAUAAAAGGAAUCCACAGGAAGACUGAUAAGUGGUUUUAUAAGAUCUAAAAAAAGCUGGCAUGCCAUUAUUCUGUAGAAAUCCUUAUUGUAGCUGAACCAGCAUGUUUGCUUUUAUAUGUGGAAUUACUUGCUGUACUGGUGAUAUAAUUUCAUGCAAAUACUUUAAUAAACUUUCAGCUUGAUUUAGCUGUA
Grus americana (Whooping crane) is the source of this 3997-nucleotide RNA transcript. RefSeq lists it as uncharacterized. Lineage: Eukaryota; Metazoa; Chordata; Aves; Gruiformes; Gruidae. The record is from RefSeq and is a predicted model, not a curated record. The transcript is spliced from 3 exons.